Molecule: ribosomal RNA, 525 nt
Filed under: uncultured bacterium
Lineage: Bacteria
Description: bacterial SSU rRNA
Rfam family: Bacterial small subunit ribosomal RNA
Source: RNAcentral
ACAUCCAGCGAAUUCGGUAGAGAUACCUUAGUGCCUUCGGGAACGCUGAGACAGGUGCUGCAUGGCUGUCGUCAGCUCGUGUUGUGAAAUGUUGGGUUAAGUCCCGCAACGAGCGCAACCCUUAUCCCUUGUUGCCAGCGGUCCGGCCGGGAACUCAAAGGAGACUGCCAGUGAUAAACUGGAGGAAGGUGGGGAUGACGUCAAGUCAUCAUGGCCCUUACGAGUAGGGCUACACACGUGCUACAAUGGCGCAUACAAAGAGAAGCGACCUCGCGAGAGCAAGCGGACCUCAUAAAGUGCGUCGUAGUCCGGAUUGGAGUCUGCAACUCGACUCCAUGAAGUCGGAAUCGCUAGUAAUCGUAGAUCAGAAUGCUACGGUGAAUACGUUCCCGGGCCUUGUACACACCGCCCGUCACACCAUGGGAGUGGGUUGCAAAAGAAGUAGGUAGCUUAACCUUCGGGAGGGCGCUUACCACUUUGUGAUUCAUGACUGGGGUGAAGUCGUAACAAGGUAAGCGUAGCGAG